GACGAACGCUGGCGGCGUGCUUAACACAUGCAAGUCGAACGGAAAGGCCCUGCUUUUGUGGGGUGCUCGAGUGGCGAACGGGUGAGUAACACGUGAGUAACCUGCCCUUGACUUUGGGAUAACUUCAGGAAACUGGGGCUAAUACCGGAUAGGAGCUCCUGCUGCAUGGUGGGGGUUGGAAAGUUUCGGCGGUUGGGGAUGGACUCGCGGCUUAUCGGCUUGUUGGUGGGGUAGUGGCUUACCAAGGCUUUGACGGGUAGCCGGCCUCAGAGGGUGACCGGCCACAUUGGGACUGAGAUACGGCCCAGACUCCUACGGGAGGCAGCAGUGGGGAAUAUUGCACAAUGGGCGGAAGCCUGAUGCAGCAACGCCGCGUGCGGGAUGACGGCCUUCGGGUUGUAAACCGCUUUCGCCUGUGACGAAGCGUGAGUGACGGUAAUGGGUAAAGAAGCACCGGCUAACUACGUG
RNAcentral lists this ribosomal RNA (468 nucleotides) under uncultured bacterium. Its description in RNAcentral is "partial 16S ribosomal RNA". It matches the Rfam family "Bacterial small subunit ribosomal RNA", at positions 28 to 507 of the family's 1533-position model. The record is from RNAcentral.